GGCGCUGUGGUUUAGUUGGUAAAAGCGCCUGUCUAGUAAGCCUGUCUAGUAAACAGAUCCUGAGUUCAAAUCUUAGCAGUGCCU
Dallia pectoralis (Alaska blackfish) is the source of this 84-nucleotide non-coding RNA. Lineage: Eukaryota; Metazoa; Chordata; Actinopteri; Esociformes; Umbridae. The record is from the annotation of a GenBank genome assembly.